Non-coding RNA from Rhinolophus ferrumequinum (greater horseshoe bat), 631 nucleotides. Lineage: Eukaryota; Metazoa; Chordata; Mammalia; Chiroptera; Rhinolophidae. The record is from the annotation of a RefSeq genome assembly.
CCCCCUUCAGAGUCAUCUCUCCUUGCAGAGCCCUGACAUGAAGAAGAACAAGACAUUCUCAGUCUAGUAGAAGAAAUCAAAGAUGUUGCUUUCCAUCCUUCUGAAGUUGGUCAUGGCUGCCAUGUGGCUGGGAUCUAAUAUUGCCCAGAAGGUUACUCAAGACCAACCAGCAAUGUUAGUGCAGGAGAAGGAAUCCGUUACCUUGGAAUGCAAAUAUAGCACCAGUGAUUCAGCUUAUAGUCUAUUCUGGUACAAGCAGCUCAGCAGUGGAGCAAUGAUUUUCCUUAUUCGUCAGGACUCUUACAGCCCGCAAAAUGCCACAGAAGGUCGCUACACUUUGAAUUUUGAGAAAGCAAAGAGUUCUGUCAACCUUGUCAUCUCAGCUUCACAGCUGGAGGACUCCGCAUUGUAUUUCUGUGCCCUGAGAGAGACCACAGUGAGAGGUGUGUUGGAAGGAGCUGUAUCAAAACCUCAGGGCUCUGCUUGGUGCAUCCACCUGCUAUGAAGACCAAGGCCAGGAAUUGCCAUCAGAGACAGGAAGUGGUGAAGUCUGUGGCAGCAUAGGCAGGUAGUGCUAAGGGCAAAUAAUCUAAGAAAAAAUACCUGUGUAGUUUCAUAUACCAUGUCAAGA